Molecule: long non-coding RNA, 2071 nt
Filed under: Homo sapiens (human)
Lineage: Eukaryota; Metazoa; Chordata; Mammalia; Primates; Hominidae
Description: HSALNT0017897
Source: RNAcentral
GAAAAAUACAGAGGCAGACAGCUUGAAGUGAAGCACGAAGGCUGGGGAAAUGCAAGAGAGACAGAGACAGAGCCUCAAGGGGUCAGAAAGCAUGCUAAGGCAGCAGGUGGUAACAUGUUACCAGUACUGAUCAAAUUUAGUCUGGAUGUGACCAACCCUACAAUCUCCAAGUCAGAGCUGCUUUUACUGGAACAAUUUUUCUCAAGGAGUGAUUCCACCACCAUCCUUCUCCAAAAAAGGCUCUGAAAACGUCUAAACUGACCAAGGAUACCUGCAUAAUCGAGAAAGCCAGCUUCCCCCAGCAAGUGCUCUCAGAACCAGCACUCCAGGGACAAGGACUGAGCCUGGAGAUUGUGGUCUGCAGCUCUUAGUAACACAUGGCAGAGGUUUCUGUUCACAUGAGGCUAACGAGGUCCAAAGAAGGGAAGUGGCAUACCCACCGUGACACAGUUGGUCGGAUCCAGUGCCCACUCCUCGGCCAGAGAUCUUUCAGAAAAAUCUAACAGGGUCCUCAGUCUCCUACCAGCUAGAUUUUUUUUAAAUGACUGUUCUUAUGUUGCCCAAGCUGGUCUCAAACGCCUUGGCUCAAGCAAUCCUCCUAUCUCAGCCUGCUGAGUAGAUGGGACUACAGGCACACAACCCUGCGCCUGUCAGCCAGAUUUUUAAGUCACCAUAUUUCGUGGACCAGAAAAGUCAUCUGUCCUGGAGUGUUGUACAUGUCUCUGCUAUUCACUUGUUAACCUGUGAAUGAGUAAUCGCCAUGUGUUGCCAUUGCCACGCAUCACAUAAAAAGUCUCUUUUUGCUGAUGCCCAGGCUUACCAAUCCAGCACUAGAAGUGAUGUGCCCUCCUUGGCUUGCUAAUGCAUCUGCUUAUGGAGCCAGCCAGCCAGCUUCAUCCUGGAUUACGGUCCCAAUGUCUUUAUUGAGGUCUGGCCCCUAAGCGCAAGAAAGCCAGGCUUGGCAUCUGCCAUUUGAACCUGUUUGUGUUUCUUGGGACCUUAGAUUCACAGGACAUUCAAGCUGAUAGAGAGCCCAUGUGGUAUCUGGCUCAACCCCACCAAUUAUAGAGCAGCAAGAUGACUUGCCCAAAAGUGGCACAACUAGUUAAAAGCUGUGAUGCCAGUGCCUCUGCUCACUUCCUAUAGGAAAGUACUAGUGUUGAUUAUGGUCAUGUACUAGUAUAGAUCACUAGUACCAAUGGAUACUGGGAGAGUGUCACUGCUGGGACCACAGUAUGAGGAGAGAGGAGUGGCAGGAAAGAGCAUCAUCCAUGCAGCCGGAUGCUUGUGCACUGCACACCUGGUCAGGGAGGCUGCAAGAGCUCUGCUUCCUUGCAUUUGCCCAGAGAAACACUUUCCACUGUACAACUCAUUUACAUCUCAUUUGACCUUUAGGAAGGACACAGAACAAUAAUUCUCAGCUCCACUUCCCAAUAAGGUUGUACAGGCUCAAAGAUAAAUAAUUGAUAUCAAAUAACAAUAUGAUUUAAGUUUAAUAUAAAUAAUAAAUGAUAAUAAUAUAGUAUCAAAUAAUUGACUAUGUUCACACAGCAAGUAAGUUAUGGAGACUGAGGUCCCAUAUCUCUAGGGGUGCGCUUCCUACACAAUAAUAGCCUUGAUAAUAAAUGACACUUAUUUAGCAUUUACCAGGUGCCUCUCACUGUCAUUCUAAGCUACACAAACAUAUAUAUAUGUAUAUAUGUAUGUAUACGUAACUUCUCAUUCAUUCUUCGUAACAGCCUUUUUAACGUAGGUACCCAUUUCAUAGACAAGAAUAUCAAGAGGUUAAAACAAAGUUCAAACCAAAACCAUAUUCAAAUAGCAAUACUUUGUUCAGGGAUUUCAGCUCGUGGAAUCUGCCCAAGACUCAAUGCUCUUGAAUCACCAGUUGUAGGCAGAACUUUCCUUCCCUCAUUGCCUUCCACCCAACCAAACACACACACUGUCUCUUCAUUCCAAAAAGGAGCUAAACUAAAGCCCAGAAGUUCCAUGAACUUUUUGUUCCUGGGUUGCCCAGGAUCUCUCAUUUUAAGCUUAAUAAUAGCAAGAGGAAACCUCUGGGUGCGGCGGC